UCGUGCCGUGAGGUGUUGGGUUAAGUCCCGUAACGAGCGAAACCCCUGUGAUCAGUUGCCAGCGCGUCAUGGCGGGGACUCUGAUCAGACCGCCGGCGUUAAGCCGGAGGAAGGCGGGGACGACGUCAAGUCAUCAUGGCCCUUAUGCCCAGGGCUGCACACGUGCUACAAUGGGGUGGACAGAGCGUCGCCAGGCCGCAAGGCCGCGCCAAUCGCAAAAACCAUCCCCCAGUUCGGAUUGCGGGCUGCAACCCGCCCGCAUGAAGCCGGAAUCGCUAGUAAUCGCCGAUCAGCACUGCGGCGGUGAAUGUGUUCCUGAGCC
This 322-nucleotide ribosomal RNA is filed under the name uncultured bacterium. RNAcentral describes it as "bacterial SSU rRNA". It matches the Rfam family "Bacterial small subunit ribosomal RNA", at positions 1060 to 1380 of the family's 1533-position model. The record is from RNAcentral.